This is a long non-coding RNA of Neofelis nebulosa (Clouded leopard), 1795 nucleotides long. RefSeq lists it as uncharacterized. The transcript is spliced from 3 exons. The record is from RefSeq and is a predicted model, not a curated record. Lineage: Eukaryota; Metazoa; Chordata; Mammalia; Carnivora; Felidae.
UUUAUUUUAAAAUUGGAGUGGAAGUAAGAAAUUGAGAGGACAUGUGGAAGAAUUUUUUUAAUAAAAAAUAUGAGCUUUUAUGAGAUCAAUAUGAUUACACAAUGGUAGCUAUAGUAAUAGUAAUAACAAUAUCUACUCUGAGCACUGAGGUCAACAGAAUUAGUUAAGCGUUUAUAGAAGAAAUGUAUAGGAAUGUAAGUCAGGAAGGUUUCUUUGAUCUGAAAUUGAGCAAAUGUGUUCUAACAUCUUGUCUCAGUGUUGAAAGCAGCAGGCCUAACUACAUGCUGGAGAAAAAUAUUUCACUAGUUUUCCACAGACAGCCUUCACCAGGGCGCUAUCAAAGCCAAACUCAAAACUGUGUGGUCAGGCUUUAAAAGCAUCAUUGCUACAUGACAAAAAGUCUUUCAUAAAUGCCAAAUGUACCAUGGUUUAACCGCUUACCAAGUGGCCUUCUGUAGUGUAAUGCAACAUUAAUCAUAUCAAACAGAGAAAAGAAUUCAGAGCUAAACCUGUCUUUUUAUGUGUCAAUUGAAAUACUUGGCUUGAUUUAAUUAGUCUCAGUUGCUUUUGAUGGAAGGCUAGGGAGAUCGUGAGGAAGUUGCCUGGUACAUUAUUAAUUCUCCACAUCUUUAUUGUCGUGCCAACCCUAUUUAUCCCAUUUCGAAUUCUCCAUGUCCCCUUCCCUGGCAGUGACAGCUGUUAAGGCUGUUGUGGCCACUUUUUUUUUUUUCUUUCCUGUUAAGAGGGCAAGCAAGCAGUUGCUGUUCUUUCCAAUGCCCAGUAAAGGAGCAGUGGGAGCCUAGUGGCUGAGCGGGCCCCUCUCAGUGUGUCAGGGUCUCUCCUUUGGGAAGUGAUCAAGUCCUCACUCAAGAAGCUGGACUUUGACAUUGUUCUUUGACUUGACAACCUAAAAUCCUUCUCUGCUUUCCUGGAUGAGCCUGUAAUGACCUCUUUCUAAAGUCAAAAUAUUGACUAUUACUUACACAUUCAAUCACACGUUGUCACAUUUGAGCAGCAGUGUUUUCCUCCCAGAAUUCUGUGGAUGCCCUUGCCCAUUCAUGUUCUGCUUAUUGCAUUCCUGCACAUAUCCAUGGUGUGUGUGUCUGUACAAAUCUGAAGAAUGAUCACUUGCAGGUAACCAUGAUGGAUCAAGAUACUACAUGGCACUCUCAUGCCUAGAAUAAUAAUUUUUCUUCCAGUUUCAAUAAAAAUCAGUGAUUUUCUUAUGUAAGUGAAAUUUUCAUGCUUCUCACAUUUUUAUUUUAUUGACUUCCAGCUCCAGAUUUCUCUUUUACUGAGGCACCCUCCCCAUCAAUUGCAAACUGUCAACCAAGUUUACACAAUAUUGCCUUCCUUCCAUCACUGAGUCCCAUUCAACUAAAUACAUCAUACAGAAACAUCAGAACUAGGAAGAAUCACCAUGGAAAAAUAAUAUUAAGGCAGAGUUGAGUAAAUCACCCAUAUCUGAGUUCAUUAGAAUGAAGAAUUAAAAUACUUUUCCAGCUUAUCACCAGGGACUCACUAACAAGCCACAAUAACCCAGUUUUCUAGCCCUGCUUAGAAGUGCUGAUUGCCACCAGAGACUAAGGUCAAAUGCCAGAAGCCACAAACUCCAAAUAAGCCUCCAUGACCCAAUUUUUGACUGGUUUGAUCCAGUUCAGACUCUGUGCUAACCCUCCAGAUGACCGUGGGAUUAUUACCACCUGCAGUAAAACCUUGGAUUGCGAGUAACUUGUUCUGCAAGUGUUCCACAACAUGAGCAAACAUUUCUAAUAAAUUUUAACUUGAUAAACGA